Molecule: ribosomal RNA, 304 nt
Filed under: uncultured Lactarius
Lineage: Eukaryota; Fungi; Basidiomycota; Agaricomycetes; Russulales; Russulaceae
Description: eukaryotic LSU rRNA
Source: RNAcentral
UGGAGCACCAAANCANGUCUUGGACUUUGGAGGCCUUUGCUGGCACCUCUCUUUCUGAAGGCCAGCUCCUCGUCUCAAACACAAUUANCANGGUCCUCUUUGCUGAUCCUCGACGUGUGAUAAGAUGUUUCCAUGUCAUUGUUUUCUGGCUCUGUCACCUUUGGGACCUGCUUCUAACUGUCCGGACCUUGCGUCGAGACAACGUUCGAGCAUGUGCCUCCCUUCUUGGGAAGCUCCCUCGACCCCACGAACCCUUGACCUCAAAUCGGGUGAGACUACCCGCUGAACUUAAGCAUAUCAAUAA